GCGGGUGUAGCUCAGUGGUAGAGUGUCACCUUGCCAAGGUGAAUGUCGAGGGUUCGAGUCCCUUCGCCCGCUCCA
This 75-nucleotide transfer RNA is filed under the name Alphaproteobacteria bacterium RIFCSPHIGHO2_01_FULL_40_8. RNAcentral describes it as "tRNA-Gly". It matches the Rfam family "tRNA". Rfam says of the family: Transfer RNA (tRNA) molecules are approximately 80 nucleotides in length. Their secondary structure includes four short double-helical elements and three loops (D, anti-codon, and T loops). Lineage: Bacteria; Pseudomonadati; Pseudomonadota; Alphaproteobacteria. The record is from RNAcentral. RNAcentral also lists the same sequence under 4 other names.